CCGUAGGUGAACCAGCGGAGGGAUCAUUAUAGAGUUUCUACUCUUCAACCCCUGUGAACUUACCUAUUAUCCUCCGGCGGAACGCCCCGGUGCCUUCGGGGCCGGGCCAGGCGCCCGCCGGGGACCAAACAAACUGUAUUUGUCUCCUGUAUACCUCAGAAAUUGGCGUAAAGCCGAAAUGUAACAACUUUUGACAAUGGAUCUCUUGGCACUGGCAUCGAUGAAGAACGCAGCGAAAUGCGAUAAGUAAUGUGAAUUGCAGAGCACAGUGAAUCAUCGAAUCUUUGAACGCACAUGGCGCCCGCCGGUAAUCCGGCGGGCAUGCCUGUCCGAGCGUCAUUUCAACCCUCAGAACCCCUCUCUCGGGAGGGCGUUACUGGUGUUGGGGAACGAGCGCCCCCCGCGGCGCCCGUCCCUUAAAUCUAUUGGCGGCUCCGGAGUCUGUCUCCCCUGCGUAGUAUUGCAUCUCGCUUUGGUGACGUCCCCGGGCUGCUGUGGCUCUGCCACGAAACCCCCACUAGGUUGACCUCGGAUCAGGUAGGGAUACCCGCUGAACUUAAGCAUAUCAAUAAGCGGAGGAAAAGAAACCAACAGGGAUUGCCUCAGUAAC
RNAcentral lists this ribosomal RNA (610 nucleotides) under Hypocreales sp. BAB-3884. Its description in RNAcentral is "eukaryotic LSU rRNA". The stretch from base 186 to 339 matches the Rfam family "5.8S ribosomal RNA". Lineage: Eukaryota; Fungi; Ascomycota; Sordariomycetes; Hypocreales. The record is from RNAcentral.